This 417-nucleotide unclassified non-coding RNA is filed under the name Hevea brasiliensis (rubber tree). Lineage: Eukaryota; Viridiplantae; Streptophyta; Magnoliopsida; Malpighiales; Euphorbiaceae. The record is from RNAcentral.
UAGGGAUAUAGCAGAAGAAAAAUCAGCUAAAACAGCAAUCUUCAUUUUACGCAAGUUGAAGUACAAAAACAGCCAUGCCAACAGGUACAACUAAAGGAUAAAGUAGCCAUUUGCCCCCUUCUAAUUUAUCAUCAACAGGUAAAUAACCUCAAAUUUAACUUUGUGGGCAAUUAAGUCCCAAAAAUACACACCCAAUUCAGUCAUAAUUAUGACAUAAUCACCAACAAUAUGGCACUGGCUGCAUCACCUAGGUACUGAAUCACCACCCUUAUUAUAUUGGUUAAAAUCCCCCAAUAAAAUAAAAUACAAGCUAAUUCCUAAAUGCUAAGGAAUAGCAAAUUCCGCACAAAUUGCUAAAAAGAGAAGCAAGAAAUAGCAUAGUAGAAAUUAAAACCUUGACUUUGGAAAGAACAAGAG